CUUUCUUUACGCCGACCUCAGAGCAGGUG
RNAcentral lists this ribosomal RNA (29 nucleotides) under Calopteryx orientalis. RNAcentral's name for it is "partial 28S ribosomal RNA". The record is from RNAcentral. Lineage: Eukaryota; Metazoa; Arthropoda; Insecta; Odonata; Calopterygidae.